GCAUCUAUGGCUAAAUGGUUAAAGCGCCAAACUCAUAAUUGCAGAGUUUGUAGGUUUAAUUCUUACUGGAUGCA
Rhododendron molle is the source of this 74-nucleotide non-coding RNA. The record is from the annotation of a GenBank genome assembly. Lineage: Eukaryota; Viridiplantae; Streptophyta; Magnoliopsida; Ericales; Ericaceae.